This 2408-nucleotide ribosomal RNA is filed under the name Clostridioides difficile. Its description in RNAcentral is "bacterial LSU rRNA". It matches the Rfam family "Bacterial large subunit ribosomal RNA", at positions 492 to 2925 of the family's 2925-position model. Lineage: Bacteria; Bacillati; Bacillota; Clostridia; Peptostreptococcales; Peptostreptococcaceae. The record is from RNAcentral.
GUAUAGUACCGUGAGGGAAAGGUGAAAAGAACCCCGGGAGGGGAGUGAAAUAGAACCUGAAACCCUGCACUUACAAGCUGUGGAAGCACAUUUCUUGUGUGACCGCGUACUUUUUGUAGAACGGGCCAACGAGUUACGUUAAGUAGCAAGGUUAAGCACUUAAGGUGCGGAGCCGUAGCGAAAGCGAGUUUUAACUGAGCGUUCAGUUACUUGACGUAGACCCGAAACCGGGCGACCUACCCAUGAGCAGGAUGAAGCGAAAGUAAAAUUUCGUGGAGGUCCGAACCCACGAGCGUUGAAAAGCUCGGGGAUGACUUGUGGGUAGCGGUGAAAUUCCAAUCGAGCCCGGAGAUAGCUGGUUCUCCCCGAAAUAGCUUUAGGGCUAGCCUCAAGGUGAGAGAUACGGAGGUAGAGCACUGAAUGUCCUAGGGGGUAUUGCACCUACCGAAGACUAUCAAACUCCGAAUGCCGUCAUCUUAUACUUGGGAGUCAGACUGUGGGUGAUAAGAUUCAUAGUCGAAAGGGCAACAGCCCAGAUCGUCAGCUAAGGUCCCUAAAUGUAAGUUAAGUGGUAAAGGAUGUGGGAUUGCACAGACAACCAGGAUGUUGGCUUAGAAGCAGCCACUCAUUCAAAGAGUGCGUAAUAGCUCACUGGUCGAGUGAUCCUGCGCCGAAGAUUUCCGGGGCUAAAACUUACUACCGAAGCUACGGCAUCAGUAAUGAUGGGUAGGGGAGCUUCCCAUACGGGUUGAAGCAUGACCGUAAGGACAUGUGGACAGUAUGGGAGUGAGAAUGUUGGCAUGAGUAGCGAGAUGUGGGUGAGAAUCCCACAGGCCGUAAACCCAAGGUUUCCAGGGGAAGGUUCGUCCGCCCUGGGUUAGUCGGGACCUAAGCUGAGGCCGAAAGGCGUAGGUGAUGGACAACAGGUUGAUAUUCCUGUACUACCGAUAACCGUUUGAGAGAAGGGAUGACACAGUAGGAUAAGCUAAGCACACUGUUGGUUAUGUGUGCCCAAGCAUUGAGGCAGUCAAAGUAGGCAAAUCCGCUUUGAUAAUGCUGGGAUGUGAUGGGGAGCGAAAUUUAGUAGCGAAGUAGCUGAUUUCACACUGUCAAGAAAAGUCUCUAUCGAGGUUAAAGGUACCCGUACCGCAAACCGACACAGGUGGGUGAGGAGAGUAUCCUAAGGCCAGCGAGAGAACUGUUGUUAAGGAACUCGGCAAAAUGACCCCGUAACUUAGGGAUAAGGGGUGCCACCAUCAGGUGGCCGCAGAGAAUAGGCCCAAGCGACUGUUUACCAAAAACAUAGGUUUCUGCUAAGUCGCAAGACGAUGUAUAGGAGCUGACGCCUGCCCGGUGCUGGAAGGUUAAGGGGAUCUGUUAGAGCAAUCGAAGCAGUGAACUUAAGCCCCAGUAAACGGCGGCCGUAACUAUAACGGUCCUAAGGUAGCGAAAUUCCUUGUCGGGUAAGUUCCGACCCGCACGAAAGGCGUAACGAUUUGGGCACUGUCUCAACAACAGACUCGGUGAAAUUGUAAUUCCGGUGAAGAUGCCGGAUACCUGCGACAGGACGGAAAGACCCCAUGGAGCUUUACUGUAGCUUGACAUUGGGUCUUGGUACUACAUGUACAGGAUAGGUGGGAGGCUUUGAAACCAGGACGCCAGUUUUGGCGGAGCCAUCCUUGGGAUACCACCCUUGUAGUACUGGGACUCUAACCAUAGGCCAUGAAUCUGGUCUUGGGACACUGUCAGGUGGGCAGUUUGACUGGGGCGGUCGCCUCCCAAAAGGUAACGGAGGCGCUCAAAGGUUCUCUCAGUACGGUCGGAAAUCGUACGUAGAGUGUAAAGGCAAAAGAGAGCUUGAUUGCAAGACAUACAGGUCGAGCAAGGAUGAAAAUCGGACUUAGUGAUCCGGUGGUUCUGCGUGGAAGGGCCAUCGCUCAACGGAUAAAAGCUACCCUGGGGAUAACAGGCUUAUCUCCCCCAAGAGUCCACAUCGACGGGGAGGUUUGGCACCUCGAUGUCGGCUCAUCACAUCCUGGGGCUGUAGUAGGUCCCAAGGGUUGGGCUGUUCGCCCAUUAAAGUGGUACGCGAGCUGGGUUCAGAACGUCGUGAGACAGUUCGGUCCCUAUCCGUCGCAGGCGUAGGAAAUUUGAGAAGACCUGUCCUUAGUACGAGAGGACCGGGAUGGACGUACCUCUGGUGUACCAGUUGUCCUGCCAAGGGCAUGGCUGGGUAGCUAUGUACGGAAUGGAUAAGCGCUGAAAGCAUCUAAGCGCGAAGCCAACUUCAAGAUAAGAUUUCCCACCGCAAGGGUAAGACCCCAGAAAGACUAUCUGGUUGAUAGGUCGAAGGUGUAAGUGCAGCAAUGUAUUUAGCUUAUCGAUACUAAUAGGUCGAGGACUUGACC